Molecule: ribosomal RNA, 628 nt
Filed under: uncultured bacterium
Lineage: Bacteria
Description: bacterial SSU rRNA
Rfam family: Bacterial small subunit ribosomal RNA
Source: RNAcentral
UGGGCUUAAGGGCGCGUAGACGGGCGGUCAAGUCGGGGGUGAAAUCUUUCAGCUCAACUGGAAAAGUGCCUUCGAUACUGACUGUCUUGAGUGAGGUAGGGGCAUGUGGAACUUCCGGUGGAGCGGUGAAAUGCGUAGAUAUCGGAAGGAACGCCGGUGGCGAAAGCGACGUGUUGGACCUCUUCUGACGCUGAGGCGCGAAAGCUAGGGGAGCAAACGGGAUUAGAUACCCCGGUAGUCCUAGCCCUAAACGAUGGGUACUAGAUUGUGGACUUAACAUGGGUUCACAGUCGAAGCAAAAGUGUUAAGUACCCCGCCUGGGGAGUAUGGUCGCAAAGCUGAAACUCAAAGGAAUUGACGGGGGCUCACACAAGCGGUGGAGCAUGUGGCUUAAUUCGAGGCUACGCGAAGAACCUUAUCCUAGGCUUGACAUGUGCGAAAGCGGUAGGAAGUAGCUUGCGGAAACGUUAGGCGAACGGUAUCCAGUCCGGAACCUACUACAGGUGCUGCAUGGCUGUCGUCAGCUCGUGUCGUGAGAUGUCGGGUUAAGUCCCAUAACGAGCGAAACCCUUGUCUCCAGUUGCCAGCGGGUCAUGCCGGGGACUCUGGAGAGACUGCCGGUGUUAAA